Molecule: long non-coding RNA, 478 nt
Organism: Drosophila serrata
Lineage: Eukaryota; Metazoa; Arthropoda; Insecta; Diptera; Drosophilidae
Source: RefSeq, a predicted model, not a curated record
CGAAAGUGUUGCUCAAAAGUGCAUGAACAAUUUGGUUCUCAACUCAUAAUUUUCAUUACAUUUUACGCAUUCGAAAUGUGUGUGUUACGUCCUGCUGCUACUGUUGUUAUCCUCCCCUCAGCGGGUCCAAAAAUUGAAAAGUUCAAAUUGAAUUUGAAUUCAAUUUGGCUGGCAGCCAUCAUCGCAAAUGGACAGGAGUCGAGCUGGCAACAAAAUAAGAGGAAUUGAGUUAUGACUGCGUAUGUAAUGCACCUUAACUGCCGGGGAAAAAAAGGGAAGGAAGUGGGACUCCACUUGAUUAGCCCAGAACGAGCGAGAAAGCUACAGAGCUGUGAUGGAAUACAAGAAGAGGAACUUACAAACACUAAGGAGAGCCUGUCAUUGGAUUGAUCUAGUUUAUUCCUUUUAGAAUUCUGUAGAGAUUUACUGGAAACAGAGAGAACCACGAGGAGGUAGCAUUUUUCAUUUCAAUUGAAUG